RNAcentral lists this non-coding RNA (46 nucleotides) under Schistosoma mansoni. Lineage: Eukaryota; Metazoa; Platyhelminthes; Trematoda; Strigeidida; Schistosomatidae. The record is from RNAcentral.
GCACUGCUGAGGAGUCCCACAAUAGGACGAAACAACCUUCCAGUGC